CCUACGGGGGGCAGCAGUGAGGAAUAUUGGUCAAUGGGCGAGAGCCUGAACCAGCCAAGUCGCUUGCGGUCCUCCUUUCCUCUUUCUUUUCCCCCUCUUUUUCCUUUUCUCCCAAAGCGUUACGUGUACCGCAUCGAGAGUACCCGGAGAAAAAGCAUCGGCUAACUCCGUGCCAGCAGCCGCGGUAAUACCGAGGAUGCGAUCGUUAUCCGGAUUUAUUGGGUUUAAAGGGUGCGCAGGCGGCGAGUUAAGUCAGCGGUAAAAUUUCGGGGCUCAACCCCGACAAGCCGGUGACACUGGCUUGCUAGAGUGGGCGAGAAGUAUGCGGAAUGCGUGGUGUAGCGGUGAAAUGCAUAGAUAUCACGCAGAACUCCGAUUGCGAAGGCAGCAUACCGGCGCCCAACUGACGCUCAGGCACGAAAGCGUGGGUAUCGAACAGGAUGAGAGAAAAGGGGAGGC
Molecule: ribosomal RNA, 459 nt
Filed under: uncultured bacterium
Lineage: Bacteria
Description: partial 16S ribosomal RNA
Rfam family: Bacterial small subunit ribosomal RNA
Source: RNAcentral